Molecule: long non-coding RNA, 749 nt
Organism: Gigantopelta aegis
Lineage: Eukaryota; Metazoa; Mollusca; Gastropoda; Neomphalida; Peltospiridae
Exons: 4
Source: RefSeq, a predicted model, not a curated record
GUGUGUGUGUGUGUUUUGUGUUUGUUUUGGGGGUUUUUUUGGGGGGGGUUAGGGGGUGGGGCCCGGGUCAUAAUCGUUUUAAGUGUAAAUACGUUCCUCUUCAGCUAAUCGUGUUGCUUGUCUUGAGUGAUAUAAGCGUAUAUUCUCGGAUACACGUUCCAUUGUGUGUUUUGUUUGGUAAAAUGUUUAACUUAAAGAUUAGUUAAUUUUUAGUUCAACGCGCUUGCGUAUUAUUUUGUUUUGGUUUGGCUGGGGGUUUUGGAGAGAGGGUCUGUGGGACAUGAAUUUAAUUUUGUCAAAUAAUUUUACUAUUUUGCGUCAUGUGAUCACUUUUUGUAACGUCAUAAUCUCUGUGACGCCAUAAUCGGUUCCAGCGUACGUUCGUCUUUAGCUAUAAUAGCUGCAACCGUAACUAAACGUCUUCUUCUAGAUACAAGUUCCAUCUUGCAUUUUGUUUAUGAUAUUAUUAUGAAUUCGUCUGGUCGUCUGUUGUUUGUGCUUUUGGUAUGUGGAGUGUUGUGCGCCUCCAUUGAUGGUGGAAGACAUAUUUACGGUAAUUUCUACCGGUCUCGGUGGCGUCGUGGUUAGGUCAUCUGUCUACAGGCUGUCUGCUAUCUUCCGAAAGACCCCGGACCAUGUGACGAUGGCGUCUCCAGAUACUACUACAGUUUUCGCACAAGAACAUGCAGGCAGUUUUACUACGGAGGUUGUGAAGGAAACGACAACAACUUCGUCACGAAGAGAGAAUG